UAUGUAGGGUGCGAGCGUUGUCCGGAAUUAUUGGGCGUAAAGGGCUCGUAGGCGGUUGUCGCGUCGGGAGUGAAAACUCAGGGCUUAACCCUGAGCCUGCUUCCGAUACGGGCAGACUAGAGGUAUGCAGGGGAGAACGGAAUUCCUGGUGUAGCGGUGAAAUGCGCAGAUAUCAGGAGGAACACCGGUGGCGAAGGCGGUUCUCUGGGCAUUACCUGACGCUGAGGAGCGAAAGUGUGGGGAGCGAACAGG
This 252-nucleotide ribosomal RNA is filed under the name uncultured bacterium. RNAcentral describes it as "partial 16S ribosomal RNA". It matches the Rfam family "Bacterial small subunit ribosomal RNA", at positions 524 to 776 of the family's 1533-position model. The record is from RNAcentral.